This is a long non-coding RNA of Dromaius novaehollandiae (emu), 6964 nucleotides long. RefSeq lists it as uncharacterized. Lineage: Eukaryota; Metazoa; Chordata; Aves; Casuariiformes; Dromaiidae. The transcript is spliced from 12 exons. The record is from RefSeq and is a predicted model, not a curated record.
UGCAGCGGCGGCCGGGCCGGGGCUCCUCGCCCCGCAGUGGCUGCGUGCUGUUUUUGUACCGGGCCGGGAGGAGAGGCGGCUGCACCCCACACACCCUGCAUCCAUCCGUCCGUCCGUCCAUCCGCCCGCGUGCGGGCAGCGCCUGUGUGUUUGUGUGACAUUGCGGCGCACACGAGCCGGCGCCGCCGGCCCCUAGCACGCAGCCCCCGGGGCUCCUGGCACGCCCCGGCUGCGGCAACCCCUCCUCCGCCCCCGGAGCCCUCCCCGGCAGGGGCAACACGGCGGCCUCGCUUCUCCUCCUCCCUCCUGGCGGCGUUUGAAUUCCUUGGCUAGCACCAGCCAGCAUGGACAGAGAAGUCUGAAAAGUAAUCUGGCAAAACAGCACGACGCCCCAAAGAAAGCUGCAGCCUCCUGGGGACACAGAGCACAGCACAUUGUAACUACAGCAAUAGACUCAACUGUGAAAGAUCUCUAUCAGGCAUCACAGAGAAUUUGAGGCAGCUGGCAGUUAUCAGCUGAAGCAGGUAGUCAGUAGACAUGUAGAAGAUAAAUAGAUAAUAGAAAAACAAUCUGGAAACCUGGGAAAGAUUAUAAACCUCUCUUCUAGAAGACUACAUCUAUAUCCCUCAAGAAACUCAAGGUGUGGCAGUAAUUCAUUCAUGGACAGAUGUAACCAACAGAUUUACAUGAGUGAUCAUACCGGACCAAUAUAGAACGAGAGCUGACAAGGAAAGACAUAUGGAUGUGUAUGGAUUUGUAUGAAUUUGGGUGGCAAGCAUAGCAGAAAAGGUAUCUGAAGGACACUGUAUUAAACAUUCUGGUAAGGAAUAUGACUGUAUUGAUAUUUUAAGUCGUCAUUGAAGAUUUUUUUGUCUGGUACAUAUUAUGUACCACAUGCUCCAGAUCCAAACAAAUAAAAAAUCACUGCAUGCCAAGGUUGUCCUAAGAGAGAAGUCUGGGAUCAGAUGGAGAAACAUAUUGCCAAACAACCAGUCAUCCAGCUAAACAUGAAAAGAGACUAAGAUAACUCUAAUAUCAAGGAAAUGAAAUUUCAGCCAAUGCUUAAGUUUCAUCAAAGUUAAUAGCAGGGUUCCCUUAGUGUGGACUGUGGAAAUUACUUCAGCAUUGCAGUUAACUCCAAGUGGAUAUAUCACACCAGUCCAGCAGAUCAUAAAUCGCAGGAAAGGUAAAAAAAAAAAAGUGAUUACAGGAUGCCUUACCAUCUCAUGAUUACUAAAUAGGCUGAGAAGGAAUUGCUGAGAGAAGAUAAACAAGUUUUCCCUCUCUCAGAAGUCACUCGCAUUUCUCCAUCUUGGCGUAUCUUUCAAUAAAAAAGCUCUGAGGAAGUGUAUGUAUGUAUGAGUGUACAUAUACAUAUAAAAUGCCAAAUGUACAGAGAAGUACUGCAUUACAUUCAGUAUAAGCAAAAACACCGAUGCUUAAUACCUUCGGAAUCACAUUUGGUCAAAGAACACUUAAAUUUAGCAAAAUCUUACUGAGGAAAGUUUGCUUCCUUAUGAAUAUGUUAAGGUACAUUUCUUUUGAAAUCUGAUCUGAAAUGUCUCAUUAACUCUAUUCGUAGAAUAGUUUGAGCUUGUUUAUCACAAAGAAUGAAGAUGUUGCUUGUAAAGUUUGUCCUAAUAAAAUUCAGGUGAACACUACUGAUGAAAGAUUACAUUAUAUUAGCUACAGAAUCUUCUUUCCUCACAGGACUGUAACAGUGAAAGCAGCUGGAAAAAAAUUGUAAUUUGAAAAAAAAAAAAUUGAUAUAUAGCCUGUAAAAGCCAUGAUAAAAGCCAAUGCUGGAAUGUUACAGUUUUGCCAGAUAUUUACAGUUUAAACUUCAUAGAUACUUUCAUUAAUGCCAAGAUCCUAAUAGGAUAUCCUGCCUUACAAUUGGUUAUGGUAAAGAUACAAAUAGUAUGAUGCACUUGUUCAUGUUUCAAGGGAAUUGUUUAAGCUCUCAAUAGUCCUCCAACUAUUUAAAAAUACGUAAUAUUUUAAUGGCAGAAUUCAACAUGCAUCUUGGCUUUUAAUUUGUGUGCAUAAUAUAUCAUUUACUUGAGGGAAAUGUGAAGUCUUCUGUAAGAAUAUCAAAGAUAUAGAUAAAUGUUAAGUACUUUCAGUGCCACCUAUUGGCUGAUAAAUUAUUUGAUUUAACCACAAACAUAAGCUUCCUGAUUUUGGACAAUGAAAUGAGAUAGGGCCACUUAUACUAGUAUUUCUAAUUUGUACUGAAAUUGAAACUAGAAUCAGUGUCUUCCAUCACAAGCAAGGAGCUUAUCCUGUCUCCAAAGAAUUUAAACAUUAAGCACUUAUUUUUUCUGCAGAAGGAGAAAAAAACAAAACAAAAAUAACCAUGAACAUAUCCUGUGCAAUGCUCCAGAGAGCUCAUGGUGGGACCAUUGUUCUAAAGUAUGUAGUGUAUAAGCAAGAUAGUGGAAGACGUAAAAAGUAGUCAAGGUGUCAUCUAAACCUCUCUUGUUAACCUGACGAUGUUUUUUGUUUGUCUGAACAUAUGGCCUAAUCAUUUUAGCCAUAGUUAGUUUCUCCUUCGUAAAAUUUAAAGCAAAAGCUGCUCUUCACUGCAUCGUGUAUUCCAAUUCUGCAAUAUGCUGAGCAAUGUAGUAUCUCUGAACACUGAAGCUUGUCCUUAUGUUUUCACAUUCACAAUUCAUCAAGAACUGAAGGAAUCUCGUUCAAAUGUGUACAACUAUACACAUGCUUAAAGGCCCUCACUGACCCAGACUGCCCUGCUGUGACACUGAAAUGUGGGCGAGCUGCCUGAAGCCUGUGAACUUUGGGCCACAAACUCAGGAGCCAUGACAGAGGUUGAGGCAACAAAGUGACUCAAGGCCUUAAAUACAUUUAAAAAAAUCUGUCCCAUAGGAUUUGAAAUGAAUUAGGUUUUUACUGGAUGACAACACAAUUCUUGGCCAAAGGACAAAAACAAUUGCAGAAUGGGAACAACGCUUUCUCCAGGCUAACACGGUGCAAAAAGCUAUGAGCUCUGGGGCUAAACUAAACCCUCCUGUUGGGGGAAGAAUCAUGAAUCACAAUAAUUAUUUAACAAAAUAAGAAAACUUCUGCCUUACAGUUCCUCUGAAUCCCGGCUUUCAAGCCCCUCUACCGGGGGAGAGCUGUUUCUAGCAUUCCCUGGAUUAUUUCAAAUCUCUGGAAAUUUGUGUAGCCCUUGUCUUCACUAAUCUUCAAGCCAUUGUGUUUGCUAUUUGAUAGCAGGCCAAACUGUCCCACUGGUGAUUCAAACUUAAUUUCCAUAUUCAAACCUAAUACCAGAUAGGCUAAAUCAGAAAUGAAUUUUAAAUAUGGAAGAACUUUACUUCCUGGUUAGGGAUAAAUUCAUAUGAGGGCAUCUAAUCUAUGUAGGUGACUGGCGAAAUUGGUAUAGCAGCUGACCUGCAAUAUUUCUGCCAGAGGUCACAAGAUUUUGGUGCUAUCAUAUCAAAACCAAAAUUCAUGUUUUGAUUAGUCUUCUAGAUAAAACCAAAUGUGGAUCUGAAUUAUGCCACAUCUUAUUUAAUGUCUGAUAUUAAAAAGUGACUCAUCUCUUAUGUAGUUUCUUUCAAAAAUGCUUUGAUUAUUAAUAGACCAAUUCAUAUAGUUUAACCAGCCUAUAAUUUCCCAAAUAAGACAUUUUUUUCCAUAUUAAAUUGUGAAGAAUUUAUCUCUGUGUAGAUAAAAUUUGCCAUAAAAAUUGCUUUUUUUAUAAUUCUUACUCUGGAAAUUUCCUUUUCCAAACAAACAAAAAUCAAGCAAGGUCUACAUUUCAGAUGAGGUUUGUACUAUUUUUUGACGUUUAUAUCAUUUGACUUAGAAACCCAUUCCUCCUGGUCCAAAUUCAAAUAAUUUAUAAUAAUGUUCUUAGUGAAAAACAAAUUAAUCAUUAAUCUCACCUGAUGACCAAACUAAAAUGUCAAUCAAAAAAAAAAUCAGUAACUCCAUUUAACAGGGUUUUUUUGGGUGAUGCUACCUGCUGAAGUAUUACAAAGUUCAAAAUAAAUUAACUCCGUAUGGCAUUACCUAUGUUCAUUUCUGACACUUUGGUCUCAGGUGUGAUGAUUUUAAAUUUCUGCAAAUGUUUACUGGAGUUAGUCACCUCAGAUCACAAUAGCAAUAUAAUUCUGGAAGUAAUUUGCUAUCAGUAAGACUCUCUAAAAGUAUGCAGGUGAAUGCUACUUUCUUAAAACAGUGGUUCUGGGCUGUGUCUAUAACACAAAGAAAGUAUGUAAAGAUACAGUUCACUCUGCUAAAGAGUUCUCUCAAUCAAGCUAUGAGCUAGCUGGAAAUAAAGAAAUAAAAAUUCAGUAUAAGUCUAUUAUUUCCUGCAUGCCAAACUGUUAACACUUUGUUCUCCCUGCAGUUCUUCGGUAUGUUAACUGCUGCACAGAUUAAGCUGGUCUACAGUGGAAUUUAGCGAGGUAGUUUUGUGCCUCUUUUCACUCCAAACUAUGAUUCUAAGUCACAGUUUGGUAUUUGUAUUUUACCCAGGACAGUAUUACAAUGUCUAUUACAGUGCAUUAAGUAAAACAAACUCUUUUAAAAUUUAUUCCUGAAUAUCUUAUAAGAGUUGAGUUGGAAUUCCAAACUUUCAGAAAUUGCUAUGUACAUUUGGAGCUGAACUAACCUUGGCUCAAAGUUUGGGUUUUUUUUAAUUUAUUUCUGGAAAAGUGUCUCUAUUCCAAGGUUUCUUUGAGAAUAUUUUAACUUUAUUUCUGUUUAAAAUCACCUGAAAGCAGUUCUCUGUUUUGAAGAGCCAAAUCAUUUAUUUGCUUUAGAUUAACACAUUACAGCGGUUGUAUUUCAAAAUGAUGUUCUCUGGAUAUGUUUCAUGUAAUGUUGCUGGCUUAUUAAGUACAUUCUAAAAAAGAUUCAGAAGUCAUUCUUUGAUAAAAGAGCUAAUAAAUUCACAGUUUCAUCUGAAUAUAAAAAUAAAUAUUUGUUAUAAUUUGAAAAGAUUAUGUUAGAGAAAAAAACUCAAAUGUAUAUUUCUAGACAGCUUGAUUAUUACGUCCUGCAGCUGUGUCACCUGCGUCUUUUUGUGCAGAUUUAUUUUGUAGAUUUAUGAAAUAAGCAACAUUCCAGAGCCAGUGGAUAGGAUGAUGAUGCAUUUUUGGAGUGGAAUGAUUCCUUUAACUCUUGUGUAAAGUGGCUCCUCAGUCUCCUGAGUACCAACAGAGAGACUAGGCUCAUUAUUUAUUGCUAAAGUGGCAGACUACUUAGUACAUGUACCUUACAGUGCCAUUACAAUGACACAUCACUAGAUGUACUGUUUGCUAUGGCCAUGAGCUCUUCAAAGUAGGAAUUGUUGGUUUAUUUAAAUAGUAGCCUAUUUUUCUGUGAAAAAUGAUUAGUAAUGGGCCGUUGACUAGGAAAAAAAAUCCUUGAACCUUUGGAGCUGCUUAUACUAACAGCUGGUUUAGUAAAACAACAUACAACAGCAGGUUUCAGUGCGGUAGUGUACUUAUGGGACUUGAGUCUCUUCUAUGCUUGAUUCUGGACGUAAAAUGAUAAUGUUUAUUUUAUGAAUUUGCUAUGAUACAGAAUUCCCAUGAAAAUUCUCAUAAGCAAUUAUUUAUAAAUGAAAAUGUACUCUUCUUGGGUCUUUAUUAAUAUAUUGGAGUAUAUUAAUUUAUCAGCUGAAAAGCAAAUGAAAAGACGCAAAGGGAAAAGCAAGCCCUAGGAAACAAAUAAAUAUAGAUCAAGGACAAACAUUAUUCUUAACUGAAAGCAUACUUCAUAUUUUGUUUUGCUCCAUGUUUGCUUUAUAACUCUCUAGUGCUGUCCUGUCAUUCAUUCAAAGAAAGCCAAUGCAAAUAUCUUCAAGACAAACAACAAUAACAUUGUUUAUAAGACUAGGUUCAUCUUACUGAACUUCAGCUACUUUAAAGUUAAAUAUCUAGUCUAAACUUCUCAAUAGUUCACUCACUAUAGGCAGCAAAUAAAUAGAGAAGAACCCUUUAGAGAGCAGUUCUGCUAGAAUGGGGGUGAAUUGCCCUCUGGAGGUAACUAUCUGUCUAUUUGUGUUUGCCUCUAUCAGUUAAAGUUAGAUGAGAUUGAGUGUCUUUCCCUCACCUUUUGCUCGGCCACCUCAAGCUUAUUGGAAUGAGUGAGUAUAGAAGAAUUUCACGUAUCCCUUUCCUUUUUAUUCAUAUUUUAUGGAAAGACAGUUCACAUUUCUAUCUAUCUCAUUCUGAUGUGAACUAUUAAUUCUUUUUUUGCUAUGUCUAUCCUGUAUAUGUUGAGACUGCGUUACUGUCCUCUAGAGCCACUAACUUUUUUUGCAUUGCCCAUUGAAGCAAAACUUCUAAUAUAAUCAGAAUUGUAAGUGAAAGUAUUAUUCCACUGUAAAGAUGCCAAAAAAGACACACAAGGGCUACAUAUUCACUUAUUUUAUUGAUUAAUUCAUUGUAGAAAAAUCUAUUUUGCAUGGUUUUAUAACAAAAAGAUAAAAAUCCUACUGGUGCUAGUAGUACAGUGGUAUUAGUUAUUGCUUUUUGUUAAUAACAAUUCAAUCCCUUGUUAAAUAAUCCCUCUGCCUACCUGGAUUCAUAAUAGUAUAUUUGGGAACCAGACUUUUAUCUGGGAGCCAGUGGUGGAGCUGUCACUCUUGAUGAUUAGUGAAGUAUAACUUGACUCUUUUCAGAUUUUGCACUGUCUUGUAAAAAAAAGAAAAAUGUAUUUUAUAUUUGCACCUAGGCUUUGUAAUUGUUUAAUGAACUGAUUCUAAGUUCUACAAUUAAAGAAACAUUUGUCAUUUCAUUACUGUGUUGUUCAAGGUUGAAGAGGCAUUUGAUCAUCAUAAUUGAGUGACGGAUUUUAGCUACAGCGAUAAUCAAAAUAUACAUAGACUAUUUAUGUAGCAUCUUUCGUCAGAGGGCCUUUUCCAAAUUUAUAAUCCAUGUACAAACUUAGCAUUAAUAAAGUGUUAAGGUUAAGCAAUCAA